RNAcentral lists this ribosomal RNA (429 nucleotides) under uncultured bacterium. Its description in RNAcentral is "bacterial SSU rRNA". It matches the Rfam family "Bacterial small subunit ribosomal RNA", at positions 917 to 1344 of the family's 1533-position model. The record is from RNAcentral.
GGACCCGCACAAGUAGUGGAGCAUGUGGUUUAAUUCGAAGAUACGCGCAGAACCUUACCAACACUUGACAUGUUCGUCGCGACUUUAAGAGAUUAAAGUUUUCGGUUCGGCCGGACGAAACACAGGUGCUGCAUGGCUGUCGUCAGCUCGUGUCGUGAGAUGUUGGGUUAAGUCCCGCAACGAGCGCAACCCUCACUUUUAGUUGCCAUCAUUAAGUUGGGCACUCUGAAAGAACUGCCAGUGAUAAGCUGGAGGAAGGUGGGGAUGACGUCAAGUCCUCAUGGCCCUUACGUGUUGGGCUACACACGUGCUACAAUGGUAUCUACAACAGGAAGCAAGACGGCGACGUUAAGCAAAUCCUUAAAAGAUACCUCAGUUCGGAUAGGAGUCUGCAACUCGACUCCUUGAAGUUGGAGUCGCUAGUAAUCG